UGCAACCUACGGGAGGCAGCAGUGGGGGAUAUUGCACAAUGGGGGAAACCCUGAUGCAGCGACGCCGCGUGGGCGAAGAAGUAUUUCGGUAUGUAAAGCCCUAUCAGUAGGGAAGAAGAAAUGACGGUACCUGACCAAGAAGCCCCGGCUAACUACGUGCCAGCAGCCGCGGUAAUACGUAGGGGGCAAGCGUUAUCCGGAAUUACUGGGUGUAAAGGGAGCGUAGACGGUGAUGCAAGUCUGGAGUGAAAGGCGGGGGCCCAACCCCCGGACUGCUCUGGAAACUGUAUGACUUGAGUGCAGGG
This 305-nucleotide ribosomal RNA is filed under the name uncultured bacterium. Its description in RNAcentral is "bacterial SSU rRNA". It matches the Rfam family "Bacterial small subunit ribosomal RNA", at positions 333 to 653 of the family's 1533-position model. The record is from RNAcentral.